This 793-nucleotide ribosomal RNA is filed under the name uncultured bacterium. RNAcentral describes it as "bacterial SSU rRNA". It matches the Rfam family "Bacterial small subunit ribosomal RNA", at positions 8 to 796 of the family's 1533-position model. The record is from RNAcentral.
AGAGUUUGAUCCUGGCUCAGGAUGAACGCUAGCGGCAGGCUUAAUACAUGCAAGUCGAGGGGCAUCAGGGGUAGCAAUACCUGCUGGCGACCGGCAAACGGGUGCGGAACACGUACAGAACCUUCCUUUAAGCGGGGAAUAGCCCGGAGAAAUCCGGAUUAAUACCCCAUAGUAAUGUUGGGUGGCAUCAUUUGACAUUUAAAGAUUUAUCACUUAAAGAUGGCUGUGCGUAUGAUUAGGUAGUUGGUUGAGGUAACGGCUCACCAAGCCAACGAUCAUUAACUGGUGUGAGAGCACGACCAGUCACACGGGCACUGAGACACGGGCCCGACUCCUACGGGAGGCAGCAGUAAGGAAUAUUGGUCAAUGGACGCAAGUCUGAACCAGCCAUGCCGCGUGAAGGAUGAAGGUCCUCUGGAUUGUAAACUUCUUUUAUGUGGGAAGAAAUGCAUUCUUUAUAGAGUGUUUGACGGUACCAUAGGAAUAAGCACCGGCUAACUCCGUGCCAGCAGCCGCGGUAAUACGGAGGGUGCAAGCGUUAUCCGGAUUCACUGGGUUUAAAGGGUGCGUAGGUGGGCUUGUAAGUCAGUGGUGAAAUCUCCGUGCUUAACAUGGAAACUGCCAUUGAUACUAUAGGUCUUGAAUUUCCCGGAGGUUAGCGGAAUAUGUCUGUAGCGGUGAAAUGCUUAGAUAUGACAUAGAACACCAAUUGCGAAGGCAGCUAACUACAGGGAUAUUGACACUGAGGCACGAAAGCGUGGGGAUCAAACAGGAUUAGAUACCCUAGUAGUCC